Molecule: ribosomal RNA, 519 nt
Filed under: uncultured bacterium
Lineage: Bacteria
Description: partial 16S ribosomal RNA
Rfam family: Bacterial small subunit ribosomal RNA
Source: RNAcentral
UGGGGAAUAUUGCACAAUGGGCGCAAGCCUGAUGCAGCCAUGCCGCGUGUGUGAAGAAGGCCUUCGGGUUGUAAAGCACUUUCAGCGAGGAGGAAGGUGGUGAGCUUAAUACGCUCAUCAAUUGACGUUACUCGCAGAAGAAGCACCGGCUAACUCCGUGCCAGCAGCCGCGGUAAUACGGAGGGUGCAAGCGUUAAUCGGAAUUACUGGGCGUAAAGCGCACGCAGGCGGUUUGUUAAGUCAGNUGUGAAAUCCCCGGGCUCAACCUGGGAACUGCAUUUGAAACUGGCAAGCUAGAGUCUCGUAGAGGGGGGUAGAAUUCCAGGUGUAGCGGUGAAAUGCGUAGAGAUCUGGAGGAAUACCGGUGGCGAAGGCGGCCCCCUGGACGAAGACUGACGCUCAGGUGCGAAAGCGUGGGGCAGCAAACAGGAUUAGAUACCCUGGUAGUCCACGCUGUAAACGAUGUCGAUUUUGGAGGUUGUGCCCUUGAGGCGUGGCUUCCGGAGCUAACGCGUUAAA